Long non-coding RNA from Neopelma chrysocephalum (saffron-crested tyrant-manakin), 1387 nucleotides. RefSeq lists it as uncharacterized. Lineage: Eukaryota; Metazoa; Chordata; Aves; Passeriformes; Pipridae. The record is from RefSeq and is a predicted model, not a curated record. The transcript is spliced from 5 exons.
UAUUUACCGUUAGUUAGAAGCUUAUGGAGAGCUGUUGUAGUGAAGUAGGGAUAUGAGAAAAGGAAAAGGACAAUAAAACACUCCAAACUCCCUUCAGCACCAACCCCCAGAGCAACUCCACACAAAUGUAACACAGUUGCUGCCAAAGCUUCAUCAAGAUCCUGCCUUUUAACAUUGCCCAUGGCACAACUCAGGUAUUGCAGAUCAGUCAUAACUCAACUUCGAAACCAGUUACAGAAGGAAUACCAUCUGCAACACCACAAGGGUGAGUACUGACAGUAGAUUGGGCUACAGAUCAGGUCAGCUGUGCUUCUUUCAUUCUCAAAAGGAAGUUGAAAAAGGCAACUGAAGACAGACUUUAUCCAGUCUGAAGAGCACUUUACUGAACAACUCAAGGACUCCUUUAAUACUGCAAGACACCAUCCCGCGUUGACUCCAACUUCACUUCAAAGUCUGAAAGGAGGACACAGAGUUCUGUGAAAAUCAGUGGGAUGCUGGAAAGCUAAGACAUAAGCCAAGCUGUUUGUUACAAAGAUGCUGGCCAUCAUUCCAGAGGGGAUAUCACAGAUCUAACCCCUACAAAACAUCUGGCAACAGGAAUGUUUUCUACACAGGCUGUGAAAAAGUAGGCUGAGAAAGUUUUUGUUGGGGGCCUCAGCCUGGCAUCCAGCUGUGUGUCGUUUUUGUGCACUACCAGUUAUAUAAACCAGUAAUAUUUUAUUAAUGUAUAUGGUCUAUCUAAUGCUAUACUUUGUACAAGUGUUUUCCUGACAAGUAUGUCUUUUUGAAAUGUUGGUAUUUUGAGACAGCGUUUAGAAAAUUCUUCUGUAAUUAUAUUUCUCUCAAUUACAUGAGGUUGAAAUCCUAAAAAUCUCUCUACUUGAUAUUGAAUCUCUUAUCUGGAAAAUGCUGAAUUUUUGCAUGUGUAAUCAUGUCUCAAACCCCAUAGAUAAUAUGUUCAUACUUUCAGAUUACAGCAAGGGAAGCCAAAUCUUACUUUUUGAACCGUUGAAAAACAUUAGCUGUGAUUCUAAGCCUCUAAUCUCAGGACAACAGAUGACAAAGCUAGGACAUCACAGUGCAGCACUGACUGUCUAGUGACAGAAAAUGUCUGGCUCUAAAAGAAAAUCCACAGUACUGUUAUGUUUGCUUGGAUAUUUUAAAUACAAAGAAUGAUCUCUGUGGGUUCUGCUGUAUCCUUCUAUCUAAACAGAACAAUGCCACUUGCUGCAGCAGGGCUGCUCUCCAGCUCCCACAGCUCUGCUCAGCCCACCCAUGGGCCCAGGGAGGUGCCCAGUGCCUGCGGCUGAGUCUGCCCCAGUGCCCCUGGCUGGGCCAGUGGGACAGGCACUGGCUGACAUGCCUUGCCCUGACAGAUCCCGAUGGA